RNAcentral lists this ribosomal RNA (882 nucleotides) under uncultured bacterium. RNAcentral's name for it is "bacterial SSU rRNA". It matches the Rfam family "Bacterial small subunit ribosomal RNA", at positions 34 to 916 of the family's 1533-position model. The record is from RNAcentral.
CGAUGCGGCAGGCCUAAUACAUGCAGUCGAGGGGUAACAUUAGUACUUGUACUAGAUGACGACCGGCGCACGGGUGCGUUACGCGUAUGCAACCUACCCAUAACAGGGGGAUAGCCCAGAGAAAUUUGGAUUAAUACCCCAUAGUACUAUAAAGUCUCAUGAUUUAAUAGUUAAAGAUUUAUCGGUUAUGGAUGGGCAUGCGUGUCAUUAGCUAGAUGGUAAGGUAACGGCUUACCAUGGCAACGAUGACUAGGGGGCCUGAGAGGGUGAUCCCCCACACUGGUACUGAGAUACGGACCAGACUCCUACGGGAGGCAGCAGUAGGGAAUAUUGGUCAAUGGAGGAGACUCUGAACCAGCCAUGCCGCGUGCAGGAAGACGGCCUUAUGGGUUGUAAACUGCUUUUGAUAGGGAAGAAAACGGCUAUGCGUAGCUACUUGACGGUACCUAUAGAAUAAGCACCGGCUAACUCCGUGCCAGCAGCCGCGGUAAUACGGAGGGUGCAAGCGUUGUCCGGAUUUAUUGGGUUUAAAGGGUACGUAGGUGGCCCAUUAAGUCAGUGGUGAAAUGCUGCAGCUUAACUGUAGCACUGCCAUUGAUACUGGUGGGCUUGAGUAUUGUUGAGGCAGGCGGAAUUUAUGAUGUAGCGGUGAAAUGCAUAGAUAUCAUAAAGAACACCGAUAGCGAAGGCAGCUUGCUAAGCAGUAACUGACACUGAUGUACGAAAGCGUGGGGAGCGAACAGGAUUAGAUACCCUGGUAGUCCACGCCGUAAACGAUGCUAACUCGAUGUAUGCGAUAUACUGUAUGCGUCCCAAGCGAAAGCGUUAAGUUAGCCACCUGGGGGAGUACGCUCGCAGGAGUGAAACUCAAUGAAUUGACGG